AGCAGCCGCGGUAAUUCCAGCUCCAAUAGCGUAUAUUAAAGUUGUUGCAGUUAAAAAGCUCGUAGUUGAAUUUCGGGAUCAAAUUGUCGGUCGUGCCUCGGUACGCACUGGUAUUAUUGGUUCCUACCUUCUGAAGAACCGCGAUGUCAUUAAUUUGGUGUCGUGGGGAAUCAGGACUGUUACUUUGAAAAAAAUUAGAGUGUUUAAAGCAGGCUUACGCUUGAAUACAUUAGCAUGGAAUAAUGAAAUAGGACGUUUGAUUCUAUUUUUGUUGGUUUCUAGGAUUGACGUAAUGAUUAAUAGGGAUAGUUGGGGGGCAUUAGUAUUCAAUUGUCAGAGGUGAAAUUCUUGGAUUUAUUGAAGACUAACUACUGCGAAAGCAUUUGCCAAGGAUGUCUUCAUUAAUCAAGAACGAAAGUUAGGGGAUCGAAGACGAUCAGAUACCGUCGUAGUCUUAACCAUAAACUAUGCCGACUAGGGAUCGGAUGAUGUUAAUUUUUUUAAUGACUCAUUCGGCGCC
Molecule: ribosomal RNA, 520 nt
Filed under: uncultured Glomus
Lineage: Eukaryota; Fungi; Glomeromycota; Glomeromycetes; Glomerales; Glomeraceae
Description: SSU rRNA
Rfam family: Eukaryotic small subunit ribosomal RNA
Source: RNAcentral